Molecule: ribosomal RNA, 486 nt
Filed under: Peripatidae sp. JPR031
Lineage: Eukaryota; Metazoa; Onychophora; Udeonychophora; Euonychophora; Peripatidae
Description: partial small subunit ribosomal RNA
Source: RNAcentral
AGCAGCAGCGGUUAUACGUUAUUAUAAAUUAAUUUUUUCUGAAUAAAUAUAUUUAAACUACUAAUUCAAAAAAUGAAAUUUCUAAAAAUAGUAAUUCAAUAAUCUCACCAAUAUUAGAUCUAAACCAGGAUUAGAUACCCUGCUAUCCUAAAUUAUUAAAAAUAAUUCAAAAAGAUAUAAUUAAAUAAAUCUGACGGUAUUAACUUUUACAAAGGAAUUUGUUUCUAAAUCGAAAACACACGAUAAACCUUACUUAAUUUAUGCCUGUAUACCACCGUUUAGAAUUUAUUUUAAAUAAAAUUCCAAAUAAAUUCCCUUAAAAGAUCAGGCCAAGGUGCAGCUUAAUUAAGCUGAAAUGAACUACAUUAAUAUAUUAUAAGAUUUGAAAUAAAAAAAAUCUUAAAAAAAGAAUUUGUUAGUAAAAAUAUAUCAUAAUGAUAUUUUGAAAAUCAUCAUUAAUAUGUACAUAUCGCCCGUCAUUCUUGU